GUUCAGAAAUCGGGCGCCGGCUUUGCCAGGAGCGGCUCCUCUCCAAGCCUGGCGGUCACUGCCCUGUGUCCCCUUUGGGGCCUCUCCUGGUCCUCUUGGUUGGAUUAGGAGGCCUUUCAGCCCGGAGUCUGGGUCGCCGAAGUACAGGCCCCUUCACUGAAGCGACCCACGGCGCAGGGGUUUCUGGAAGCCAUCGCCAGGCUCCGAGUGUUCAGAUGCAGCUGCCAGGCUCAGGACGCAGAGAACUGGCUUCCAGCUCGCAGGAGCGCCUGUCCGUGGUGGGUAGGGUCGCAGGCGUGGGGUGUGCAGGAGCAGUGGGACAGCACUGAAACGCAGUCGGAAGAGAUACCACGGUGUGCAGGCACAGGGAAAAGGCCACGUGAGGACACAGAGAGAAGACGGCCGUCUGCAAGCCAAGGAGAGAGGCCUCAGGAGAAACCAAACCUGCAGGCACCUUGAUCUUGGACUUCCAGCCUCCAGAACCUUGAGAAAAGAAAUUUCUGUUGUUUAAGACACCCACUCUGUGGUAUUUGUUCUGGCAGCCCUAACAAACUAAUAUAGGGGUCUAAAGAUUCCUUGUCUUCAUUUUGAGUAAGACACUAUAAACUCAGUACUGUGGAGAUCUAGUUAGGUAUUGUACAGCUAGCCUCAUUCUGUCUUAAACUCCAGGGAAAAGAGAAAAAUAUGGAGACAGCCCCUGACUUUGGAGAACUUGCAGUUUUGUGGAGGUGAAAGGAGGCAGCCACAAGAAAAACCCCUGACAUCAAUUCAAAACUAUAAAUAACAAAGACUAACUUGUUCUAUGCACAACAGGUACUACAGCACUGUCCAAUAUGGGGACAUUUGAGUGGCCUGAAGCAGCACAAGAAUGGGGCAAUAAACUUGAGAUAAACCUCAAAGCAUCAAUAUUAUUCAUGACUAAACUGGGUUCUAAGAAUUGCUAUUUUUACUGUUAGUGUUCAGUAGAGGUCAUUAAAAAAAAUCUAGCAAUUUUUUUUUCUAAAAUGAAUAUGUAAUAAGAAUGAAAAACAAAAAGCACUAUAAUGUUUUUAAUUAAUGAAAUGCCUUUACGAACCAAGGUGCCAUCUUGGAGAAGCUAGGCAUUAUGAGGAGCUAUCAGGAGCACAUUUGCUAACAGCUUCGCAUGAGCAGGAUUUUCUUGACCGACUGGCAAGAUGGGGCUGCUCAGCUCCUGCUGGCAGAUUUUUAUGGAGCGUAGUUGUACAAAUCCAGCCUACAACUCUGAUACGUUCCAAUGUAUUUUAAACAUCUAUUCAGUUGCAACUCUAAUCCCAGGAACCUGUGGCUAACAGAAGGCAGAUUUAACUGACUAGCAGCUGUGGGAUUUUCAAAGUCUAAACUGAAAUGAACAUGCGAAACAGUUGGACUACCCCAAAAGCUGAAUUACGAUUCCAGCACUCACCAGCUCUGAAACCUCACUUGGUUACCUAACGCCUCUGUGCCUCAGUUCCCCAGCUAUAAAAUGGAAAAGGCAACAAUACCAACCUUAUAGAUUAUGUUUUGGAUUAAAUGAGGCAACACAUACACAGCACUUAGAAUGUGCAAGGCACAAUGGAAGCAUGCAGUGAACAUGGCUUAUGAUGAUGCUGACUGUCAUAACUCUCAUUCAUAGGGAUGCUGCCUCUUCUUGUCACCCUUGACCUAUAUAUUUUCGGGCAGUCCUCACCCAGUCCCCAUUUGUGUGUUCUAGAUAGAAAAGGCCCCAUACUAUGAAAUGACCACUGUCCUUCUGCAUGAAGCCUGGUGAACCUGAUAAUGUAACCUUCAAGUUCCCUUACUGAGCCUUGAGCUCCCUUCAAAGUAUCCAAGCCAACCCUGUCUUGGGAAACUCACCUAGAUAAUGCCCUGAACCUCAAUAAAGGCUCCAGCCCACAGGUCCCUCCCUCUCUCUCGGUCCCCACUCUUUGGCUGGGCAUGUGUGUCCUCAAUGUCUCCAAGCCCUUCCAGUAAGCCCUGCAAGGUGUGCUGGCCACCGUUCUCUGGAAUCUGUGAGUAAUAAACAAUCUUUUUGCCAUUCUGCUCU
This 2044-nucleotide non-coding RNA is filed under the name Pongo abelii (Sumatran orangutan). Lineage: Eukaryota; Metazoa; Chordata; Mammalia; Primates; Hominidae. The record is from RNAcentral.